This 341-nucleotide ribosomal RNA is filed under the name Klebsiella planticola. RNAcentral describes it as "Raoultella planticola partial 23S ribosomal RNA". It matches the Rfam family "Bacterial large subunit ribosomal RNA", at positions 911 to 1250 of the family's 2925-position model. The record is from RNAcentral. Lineage: Bacteria; Pseudomonadati; Pseudomonadota; Gammaproteobacteria; Enterobacterales; Enterobacteriaceae.
UGUUUCGGCUAGGGGGUCAUCCCGACUUACCAACCCGAUGCAAACUACGAAUACCGAAGAAUGUUAUCACGGGAGACACACGGCGGGUGCUAACGUCCGUCGUGAAGAGGGAAACAACCCAGACCGCCAGCUAAGGUCCCAAAGUCAUGGUUAAGUGGGAAACGAUGUGGGAAGGCACAGACAGCCAGGAUGUUGGCUUAGAAGCAGCCAUCAUUUAAAGAAAGCGUAAUAGCUCACUGGUCGAGUCGGCCUGCGCGGAAGAUGUAACGGGGCUAAACCAUGCACCGAAGCUGCGGCAGCGACACUAUGUGUUGUUGGGUAGGGGAGCGUUCUGUAAGCCG